GCAGGUCAGGGCCGGGGAAUCGCCGGUCUUGAAAACCGGUAUGGGGAAACUCAUCGUGGGUUCGAAUCCCACGCCCUCCG
Molecule: transfer RNA, 80 nt
Filed under: Paractinoplanes atraurantiacus
Lineage: Bacteria; Bacillati; Actinomycetota; Actinomycetes; Micromonosporales; Micromonosporaceae
Description: Actinoplanes atraurantiacus tRNA_Ser_TGA
Rfam family: tRNA
About the family: Transfer RNA (tRNA) molecules are approximately 80 nucleotides in length. Their secondary structure includes four short double-helical elements and three loops (D, anti-codon, and T loops).
Source: RNAcentral